CUUGAAACUCCUCCACGGCGGGGGCUGGUGGAGACCCUUGAAACUCCUCCCCCUUCGCUUUGAGGGUGGCUGGCCUGGUGGGGCCAGUCCCGUGGCGUCGGCCGGGUGCGCUGGCUCUCGCGAGGUUUGGGCGCAGAGCAUUGCGGCUCGGAGCGGCGCCAUUUUGGGAGCGAGGCGAGUUGUGUGUGUGAAGAAGCGGCAAAAGGAGCUUUCAAAUCCGAGACCCGCCGCUCUCCGUCUGCCGCCGCCGGGACCCGCCAGCCGGGCAGUUUGGAUUACAGAGGCUGUCCUGGUGGAUAUUUGGAGUCUUUUGCUUCAGUUUGUUGUGAAGGGGGAGUAAGGUGGACAUUGACCUUCAGCCUUUGCUUCUGUUUAAGAGGAAAAAAUAACUGGACAUCGACCUGGAAUUAUGAUUUGUUCAAUUGCUUCCUACUCAAAAGGCUUUUGAAGUUGUCAGAAGACAUCUAAGAAAUAAAUUGAAAGCUUGCAGAGUCUUGGAUUUUUCUACUCCAAAAGUAGGAGACAACUCACCCGUGGACACUUUUGGCCACGUGGAAUGGAUAAUUGAUUUAAUUUCUUAAGAUCUGCAUACUUCUCAUGUGAAAAUUAAAGGGGUUUUUCUUUUUCUUCUAGUUAAAAAUUCACAGGCUAAGAUACCUGUGAGUCAUAUGCAUAACUAGUUUUGUCAACAGGUUUUAGAUUACAUUUAAUGUAAUCUUUGGUUACUGUUUAAACACUGCUGAAAAGUUUCAUGGCAGAUAUUUUUACCUUUAUUUUAUUUUUUAAGUAUUCUGACACUGCCUUUUUUUACUUUGCAAUGCAACCUAUUUUCUAAAUGAAGAGACUAAUAGAAUUUUCCUUUUUCUUUUUAUAUUUCUUUUGAGGGUUUUUUUUUUGUAAAAUGUUGCCAACAAUCAAUAUGGUUGUAUCCAGAUAGCCAUUGUCUGCAGAGGCCUCUCAGAUCUGAAGUUCAGAAAUGUUCUUCAUUUCACAUGUGAAAUUUGUUUUUUCAGUUUUACUCUUGGUGUCAUAAAAGGUAUAUUUAUUUCAUCAGGAGCUGAUGGUCAUUAUAGUGAGAUGUACAUGGAAUAGUAAAGAGAAGAGGCUGCAAAAAGAUAGAACAAGCUUCUUAAAUCAAACUUGGCAAAUUUUGGAAAUAGCUUUGUGAAGUCUAAAUAAGAAGGAUGGGUAGCUGAUUUCUAAGAGGUGAACUCUGUCAAAUAGCUACUGAUGUAGUAUCUUCAAGGACUCUCAUUGGCUGUUAUUUCAAGGAAAGCAAACUGGAAAAUACAAAUUACACAGAACUAACACCUUGUACAGUCCUCUUGGAUUUUGUAAGUAUUGCACUGUGCAUGAAUCAAUAUACACUUGAAUAAGCUGUCCCAUCAGCAGAGGCAUAAAUAAUAUU
Molecule: long non-coding RNA, 1408 nt
Filed under: Pelusios castaneus (West African mud turtle)
Lineage: Eukaryota; Metazoa; Chordata; Testudines; Pelomedusidae
Description: lncRNA (ENSPCEG00000000221.1)
Source: RNAcentral